GGCUCAAUGGUCUAGGAGUAUGAUUCUCGCUUUGGGUGCGAGAGGUCCCGGGUUCAAAUCCAGGUUGAGCCC
Glossina fuscipes fuscipes is the source of this 72-nucleotide non-coding RNA. The record is from Rfam. NCBI's taxonomy places the organism in Eukaryota, Metazoa, Arthropoda, Insecta, Diptera, Glossinidae.